This 238-nucleotide unclassified non-coding RNA is filed under the name Hevea brasiliensis (rubber tree). Lineage: Eukaryota; Viridiplantae; Streptophyta; Magnoliopsida; Malpighiales; Euphorbiaceae. The record is from RNAcentral.
GGAGACCCUUCUGCGCCUCGAUCCGCCGGGAUCCGGACUCCGAGGCCACUUUGGCAAGUAAACGGAGCCUAAGCCCCCGGACCCGCGCCAAGUUCACCGGUCUCUUCACCGGCAGCGGCCCUUCCACGCCCAAGAUGCAGCCCAACAACGCUCCUGGACUUCGCUGCCGGACGACCCCCAGCAGCCCUAGGCUGACCACUGCUCAGCCCUCCACCCUGCCACCGGUGUCUAGCGCGAA